GCAAACACGAGGAAAGAAAAGAAAAUCGAAUGUUUUCAAACUAGAGCAAAAAACACUAAAAUUUUAAAUAUUAACAUUUAAUCAAAGUUCACUUUUGACAUUCAAAUUUAGUGGAAUACUAUAAACUACCGCCCAAAUUCCAAUGUGACAGGUGCAUCAGCAAUGUGUAUUAAAGUGUUUGUAACUGUCCAUGUGGAUGACUGGACUAUAGGAGAGGCCAGUCGGUGAGUAGGACCAGUCUUUGAUCUAAGAGGACUCAAGCACACCAAGACAAUGAAGUCUGUCAAGAUGAGACUCUAGUCUCUAUAGAAACAUUAGAUAAGUGCAUUUCUCUUCCUACAGCCUUUUUUACAAGCAGGUAAAAACUAAUCAGCACAUCUCUUAACUGGACAGCAGAACUAACCCUGCACAAAUGUGUUCCACCGAUGUUCCAAAUUGGGAGAAAGUUCAAUAAAUUCUUUGUGUUCAUAAUACACAGUAUCAGUGCACUGCUCUCCAUAUCUUUCAAUAUGGUCUACCAUAUUUCAGAUUUACUGGAUGAAAUCUUUACUCUUUCUUUGAAAAUGCAGCUGUUUAGGUAUUAAUCUACAGAAAGACUGGCCAGACUGCUGCGGUGGCAUCUCAAUCAGCUACCUCAACUCUCUUCCACCUGUGUGAGGUACACUCCAAUUCCACUGCCCUACUGUGACAGUAGUCCUUGUUCUGCUGUAGGUCACCAAGGCUGCAGAGCAGAACAGGGACUAUUGUCAGCAGCCACAACUCAGCUGAUAUAACUUGAGUCCGUCUACAGGUUGAGGGGCUUGCUGAAUUUGCCGCCGAUUAAUUCUGUUAUAUAUUACAGCAAGCUCUACAGUACACAAUAAUAUAUUGUUAACAUAUACUAUUACUGUAAAACCUCAUCUAGGAAACACUACAGCUAUAUAGGAUAGGGUGAUACAUUGAAUAUACUUGAUGUAUCAUGGGUUUUUCCACGAACGAUGGUUAAAAUGGUUUUAACAUAAACAUCAAGUUGAAAUUGCCGCAAUAUAAAGCUGUCUGCAUGCAAUUCACUGUCAGUUUUUUUUUCUCCCACACGCUGCAAAUGCAUCAUUAAUCCCCCCUCCCAACCGGAAAAAUUUCUACCUGUGCUGAGCAUGCGUGUUUACUACCUGAUAAGGAAAAAUAUGGCGACGGCCGGAGUUACAGAGGACGGAGGGAAUGAGACUGUUGUUUGGAUUUCACAAGGAGGAGAUUGAACAAAAUACGAUUCCCUGCUAGAGCCGAGGCCCAGGAGAAGCGACAUAUCACACACUGAACCCAUCAAAGUCCUCACAAAAAUGAGUAAAUAACGUUAGAUGAAUGGAAAUCUAACAUCUACAGAAAUCAUCCACUUCUACAAUUUCAUGCAGCCAUGGAUGCCGCCAUGUGCCACAGACCUCACGCCGCCAUUACGCCGCCACCUGUCACGGACUCUACCCCGCUGCAUGUACCCGAGGGACACCAGAACCUGAACCCAAGUCAUUGGGUCCCUGUCUGUUCGUCACACUCGGGCAAUCUAAGCCUGCUGGCUUCAUGGACAGAUAAAGUUGGGUGUAAUCUGCGUAGAAGUGAAAAUGGCUGCUAUUCCUUCUAAUGAUUCUGCAGGCAGCAUGUAUAAUGUAAACAGAAUUAAGGAAUCCUGUGGAACUCCAUAACUACUGUGUGAAGAGGACUCUCCAUUUACAUGAACAAAUUGGGGUCUAUUAGUUAGAUAUGAUUCAAACCACUGCAGCACAGUACCUGUAAUACCUACAGUAUGCUCUAAUUGCUCUAAUAGAAUAUUUUGGUCAACAGUAUCGUACGCUGCACUGAGGUCUAGCAGGAUAAGCACAGAGAUGAGUCCACUGUCAGAAGCCAUAAACAGAUUAUUUGUAACCUUAAAUAAAGCUGUUUCUGUGCUGUGAUGAGCUCUGAAACCUGACUGAAACUCUUCAUGAAGCCAUU
Oreochromis aureus is the source of this 1962-nucleotide long non-coding RNA. RefSeq lists it as uncharacterized. The transcript has 3 exons. The record is from RefSeq and is a predicted model, not a curated record. Lineage: Eukaryota; Metazoa; Chordata; Actinopteri; Cichliformes; Cichlidae.